CUCUGUCUGUCAAAUAAAUAAAUAAACAAAAUCUUAAAAAAAGAAAAGAAAACUCUAGGUUGGGAGAUUUAGCUUUCCCUAAGUAGCCUAUUUCAAUGUUUCGCAAGAACAUUGAAAGGGAAUGUUCUGAGGGAAUCUCUUUCUACAACCUAAAUCCAGCAUGUGGCUGCUUGUGCCAAUUCUCCAGAAGCUGGAGGACAUCUGAUGACCACAUCUGUGUUAAAACCCUUCCUGUCCUCACAACUGGUGGUUGUGAAUGAGCAAAAUAAAUUAAUCUAAAAUGAAUGACAUUGUAACAUAUUUUUUGAGAACCUUUCAUGUCUGUGAGAUGGAAGAGUAGUUCUACAUGGAAUGUCCAUUUAUCUUCCGUGAAAAGUCUUGUGCAACUGAAUGAAGCAGAAAAUAGGUUCAGAAGUCUCCAUUGGGAAGACAACAGAGCUGUGUGUUACCUUUCCGAAGGUAGUAAAUUUUGGGGGGUGAUUCAGUUAACUUUCAUCAUUUUGAAACCCUUAAUAAAAAGGAUUUCCAUCACCGUUGCGGAGUGUCCUGAAGAAAUCUAGAGAACUAGCAUAAGAAACCCUAAAGCAUAUACAAUGUGUACUACUGUGUAACUCAGAGCAAAACAGAAACAAGUUAAUAGCAUUUCACAUUUUAAGUAAAACCCAAUAAUGUUUUUAAAACACCUGAGAUCUGCUAGUGACAAGGCCCUUCAAGGAAGGCAGGACUGGCCACCAAUAUAAUGUUCACAAUACAACAAAUUUGUACUGUGUCGAGAAGCAUCUCCAGUGGGAGUUCUACAUUCUUCCUGUAUCGGGAAGAUGUCCCACUGUACGGCGCUGGCUGCUCCUGUCCCCUCCCCGAAAGUUGCUUGGUUCUGCUGCAAAGAUUUCCAAAGCUUUUUUUAUUGGCAGCUUAGGACGCAUGCGUGACCUUACCAAAGUGGAAGUGAAAGCUCUCAGUUUUUCUUUUUUCUUCCUUUUUUUUUUUUUGCAACAGUAAAUCUAUUAAUUUUACAGUCAGUUGAACAGCAAUAGAUUAAUUUGUGUAAAGUCUGUGUUCACAAAGAAAACCUGAACUGCAGGGGCUUGAAUGCUUGAAACCACAGCGUGGUGGCUGAAGGCUGGCCACUCUUACAGCUUGCUGGGGAAGGAUGAAGGCAGUCCCUUGUCACCUGCUUCUGUGCACAGGUGCUGACCCCUCGGUCGAUCCAGGGCCUCCUGGCGGGGUAGCAGGAAGGCUGGGCCUUUUGUGUGCUACAGAGAACGCUUUUCCAAGGACUGGGCCCGUUUUCUCCAGCAGCCACAGGAAGCAGAAGAAAGAAGAGGUUAAGGGCCACCACAAGGGUCAGAAUGGGUUAAAUUUAGUUAACAUCAGAGGUUAUAGCUUUUAACAACAGCUUCAAGAAAACUUAUUCGAAGAUGCAAUUUGUUUCUUCUUUGUCAACUGUUAUUUUUUUUUUCCCCUAUUGAUAGUGACAGCUUAACAAAGUUGUUAUAUGCUGGAGGUUUUCAUCCUUUAGAGAAUAAAGGAUUGUGUUCCUAAAAAGAGGUGCAGGUGGAGGACGUUAUAAAGCUUCCAUGAUUUUCGAAUUGGGAGCUUUAAAAUAGACUCCCUGCUUGGCUAAGUCAAAAAUAAUCUGUGAGGGAUGCGGGGGGAAAAAAAUCUCCACUAGAAAUGGAGGAAUGCUUCAGCAGUCAGAUGCAGGGGCUCAGAUUUCUAGAAGUUUCUUUGUGUGUAUUUUACUUUCAACCACCAGUUGUUUUUCAAAAUGACCAAAGAGGCCCCCUCUUGGGUUUCCAUACAUGUGUUUCUCUAAAUUUAGAACUUAGUACUGGGCAUAACUAGUUGUGUAUUGUUUCUCUAUUUGAGAAAAAAAACAUGGCUGUAGAUUUCUGCAUAUGUCCUUCACGCUCUGCUUAUUCUAGUAUCCAUAUUUUCUGUUCAAGGGCCCAACUCUUGGUCUUUGGAAAGAGAGUCAGGUCAGCUUUAGCCUCUCAAUUGGAAACUCACACUUCUCGAUAGGUAUGAUUUACCUAGAACUGAUGUUGAGUGUCUUGCUGAUCAUAGGAAGGCUUCAGCCGCAUUUCUAAGAUAAAUACACGGCUUGACUUUUUUUGAAAGAGUUUUAUACAUUCACAUUGAUGAGGUUUUAGAAUGCUGAACCUGGGUUUCCUGAGCAAUGGUUUCUAUCUGACAGUCAGAAGUGUGAGUGUAAUCUACACAUCUAAGUGCUAUAUGAUACUGUGCAUUUGACAACAUGUUUGCUUCAGAUACAAUGAAGACUCAUGUAAUUAUUAUUUGGGAAAUAAGAUGUUUUGUCUAAGAGAAUCCUCCAGAUGCCUAUACAUACCUCUCAACACAAAGUGUCUUACCGUUUUGAGCAAAAGUAUUUUAAAUAACUUAUUACAAAGCAUUGCAUUCUGAAACAUGGUAUAGUGAGUUUUUUUUAAGAGCGAGGGCAUCGUUAUGACUAUACAUUAUUAUACGGUGCUAUGUGAUAUAGUCAUACCUGUAUCAAAUACCACUGUCCAAAAUGCACUGUUUUUUUGAAUUUGUAAUUUCUACUCAUCAUAGGUUUUCUUACUUUUCUCUCACCAUUAUACUGCUAACUUCCCCUUCUUGUUGCUAUAGUCACUUACCUAGCUUUAUAUUUCUCCCCACUUUCUAACAUUCUGCUCAAAGUCAAGUUCAGUCUCACCUGGCCUAAUGCAAGGGUUGCUUAGGGGACUUCUACCCUCCAUCUGUCCUUAUUCCAAAUCAGCCCUCACAGCACAGCCAGGCUAACCUUAUUUUAGGAAAGCUCCACCCACACACUUUCCUUGUGACGGUUUCCUCGUCCCACCUGCUGACUUGGAUUGUGAGGUUCCACUCUAGCAUUUACUACCCUCACCCUCUGCAUGGAUCUAAAACCUACUGGGGUUGGCAAGUGAGUCAGUUUGCUUGCUCUGCCCAGGGCCCUUCCUCAGCCCCCCAAAGGGGAGCUUUGCAGAACAAAAGUCCUGUCCUCAUUCCUUCUUCCUGUUCAACAGCUGGUUGGACCAGAGGAGAAGACUGCCCUGCAGGAGUCCAGUCCACAGACUGUGACAACUUGCAUAUUCUGACUGGGACAUUUGCUGGAUGUCAAAUGCGGCAGGAGAUACUAAUUGGAUAUUCAUUCUGCUCUUUCCCAGGUUUUAGCUGGGCACAAAGUUGCACAGAGUAAGGACAGUGUGUGUAGCCUCCCCAACAAAUAGGUGUGGCCACGUGACCAAGUUCUGGCCAGUGGAAUAUAUGUAUACCUACUCCCAUGUGACUUAUCCCAUAGUCCCGAGGAGUCCUCGUUUAUGCCUGUUAUCCCAGUAUAAUUAUUAAUAACAUCCUUUUCACUCUUUCAUGGCAUAUCACAUGGCCACACUAAAAAAAUAAGCUGUGGUAUGUGCACCUUCCAGGAUGUUCUCUUAGAAGGAGAGUGUGCUCUUCCUCUCCUUCCUGCUUUCUGCCAGCUGAAAGGUGGACAGGAUGGCUGGAGCUUGGUUGGCAUCCUGGAGCAUGAGGGGCUCCUGGAAUGGAAAGCGUGCAUGGCAGAGCAAUGAGAUAGAAGGAACCUGGGCCCUUAUACGCCAGCACAUGGUGCUUCUAGAUUUACUGAUUGUACGAGAGAAACAAGCUCUUAUAUUGCAGCUGAACCUACCCCUGAAACAUGUCACUCAAACAAAAAGUCAUAUAAAGUUGUUUAUUUUAUGAUUCAGGCCAGUGACGCACACUGGAGUUUUCAUGCAGCUGAGCUGGUCUGCAGAGAGAGGCAGGAGAAUAAAACAGACAUGCGGAAAGAACUAUGCAGAAAAAUAGGAGAUUGUGGGGCUUGGUGAAAAACGGGGUAGAAGCUUUCAUGUCUAACUUUCUGAUUCCAGUCUCCAUGGAGUCCACUGGUCUGCAUUUCCUACCUGUACAUACCUCUUAGGUGGAUUUUCUCACAACACCUUUCUAUCAGUGCCACCAAACAUCAUUAUAGCUCUAACUCUCUCUUCUUCCGCCACUGCCAAGAAGCUAAAUGACUACCUGCUGUUCCCUAACCAUAUUUUGUGCUGUUCUGUUUUUGCCCUACCUUUUGCCUGGAACAGAGCCAUCUUUCCAGCCCUAGCCCAAAUGCCACCUCUUCUAUGAAGCUUUCCCAUACUUAGUCUAACUGGGUGAAUUUCUCCCUUUUUCUGACCCCUGUCAUUUUAUAUAUGUUUAUUCUGUGGCUUUUCUCUUUCCUCUGCCUCCCAAUAUAGUUGCCUGAAUACUUGGCAUGUCCUGCCUUCUGCAUUGCCAGCCCCUUAGAGGGAGGGACUGUACACUUGCCAGUUUGGUUCUAGCAACAAACUGCAUACCUUUAGUGUACAUUAAGUAUUUGCUGAAGAGUUGUGGGCUAUAGAGUACACAGCUAAGCCUUUUCUAAUGGUCUCUGAAAUAAGAGAAAGUGAACUCUCUUGGUUGAAGUACAUGAGGUUUCGGGUAAGACUUUGUAUGUUGUAGAGGCUUCCCUUACUGUUUUUUUUUUCUUGCUUUGAGUUGAGAGUGCUUAAUAAGAGACCUCUAGGCAUCUUUUAUUGAAGCAAACUUCCAUGCUAAGUACUAUACUUGUGACUCUCAUGAUUUACAAUUACUGAAUGAGACCUGCAGAGAGUCUAAAAAAUAUACAAAAAAUAUCACAGUCUGUCUCGUAAAGGAGUAAUAACGAGAUCUUUGAUUCCUUUUAUUAAUUACUACAUUAUGGACUCUAUAAUUGCAACCUGCAAGGCCUAUAAUCAUUAUCAUCAUUUUCAAAAAGAUUAUCAAAUGAUCACACAUGUGUAACAUUGGGUUAACCUUGCUACCUCUAAGGCAGGAAGGUCACAGCCCAGUAGAAAAUCCAGUCUAGCCAUUUCUUUAAUGUUCUGUACAUAACUGAUGGAUUUUGUGACUGGCUCAGUCAAAGGUUUGGGUAUUAAUGCUCAGAGGAAAAAAAAACCAAAACCCUGACACCAUAAAAUAGAUCCACAUGUAAUUAUAACUGUAAUUUUAUUAUAGUCUAGAAGGAUGCAUCAUAAAUGCGAGGCAUGCAACAGAGUAAUGGGGGAUAAUGA
Mustela erminea (ermine) is the source of this 5087-nucleotide long non-coding RNA. RefSeq lists it as uncharacterized. The transcript has 2 exons. The record is from RefSeq and is a predicted model, not a curated record. NCBI's taxonomy places the organism in Eukaryota, Metazoa, Chordata, Mammalia, Carnivora, Mustelidae.